AACGAACGCUGGCGGCAUGCCUAACACAUGCAAGUCGAACGAGAUCUUCGGGUCUAGUGGCGCACGGGUGCGUAACGCGUGGGAAUCUGCCCUUUGGUUCGGAAUAACAGUUGGAAACGACUGCUAAUACCGGAUGAUGACGAAAGUCCAAAGAUUUAUCGCCAGAGGAUGAGCCCGCGUAGGAUUAGCUAGUUGGUGUGGUAAAGGCGCACCAAGGCGACGAUCCUUAGCUGGUCUGAGAGGAUGAUCAGCCACACUGGGACUGAGACACGGCCCAGACUCCUACGGGAGGCAGCAGUGGGGAAUAUUGGACAAUGGGCGAAAGCUUGAUCCAGCAAUGCCGCGUGAGUGAUGAAGGCCUUAGGGUUGUAAAGCUCUCUUACCCGGGAUGAUAAUGACAGUACCGGGAGAAUAAGCUCCGGCUAACUCCGUGCCAGCCGCCGCAGUAA
RNAcentral lists this ribosomal RNA (449 nucleotides) under uncultured bacterium. Its description in RNAcentral is "partial 16S ribosomal RNA". It matches the Rfam family "Bacterial small subunit ribosomal RNA", at positions 29 to 523 of the family's 1533-position model. The record is from RNAcentral.